This is a long non-coding RNA of Amphiprion ocellaris (clown anemonefish), 2129 nucleotides long. The record is from Ensembl. Lineage: Eukaryota; Metazoa; Chordata; Actinopteri; Pomacentridae.
GGAGGAGGGGGUUACAUGUGUGUGUCUGUCACCCCCAAACCCAACAGCUGGAGGCUACAGGGUCGAGAGAGGGUCCUGCAUCGCUGCAGGGGGAGCAACAUGUGGGAAAGUCCAUAAGAUGGACCAGAAAAUGGACUCAGUCCUGCGGAUCCUGAAGGAGCAGUUCCCACCCAAGCCAGAGUCCAAACCCUCCAUCCGUAGGGUGACCAUCCAGAAACGCAUGGGUGCCAGCAUCGACGAAGGGCCCUGAUGUCACAGAGACCUUCACAUUGGGACAAUUAACGGAGCAGGAGUUCACAUAAACAGCCUCCUAUGUGUGGGGCGGUUUACAAAUAGUAAGGGGACUCAGUCUUCCGAAACCCCUCCUUCUCUUACUUUUGCAAUCCUAAAUUUUCUUUUUUGACCUUUGACCCCUGAGACGAGAACAACUUUUAAUUGUCCACUUGACUCUCAUUUCAGACAUUAGGACAAAACAACCACUGUGAGUGGGAUUCAGGGCGUGGAAAACAAGCUAACCAACCUCUUCCUCUGGAUGAUUGUAGGCCCCGCAUGGGUCCUUUGUCGUUACUUCAGUGUAGCUUACUCUUCUGCUAGUAUUGUGGGCCCUCAGUCUGUGCCUGCGGUCAUUUAUUUCACUAUAUUAGCCUCAUAAUCACACUUCUCUAUGAUGUAAAUUUAUGUGUGGCCUGUCACUGAGCUGCAUUCCUCCACUCCAAAUAUUAUUCCAAAGCUAACUAACCCCAUAAUGAAGUCGUAAUGCAAUCAAAGCACUCAAGUUCCCCAAAGACGUUGAAAAAAAAAAACUCUAAGUGCAGCCAUGGCAGAGGCAUUCCUCAAAUCCUUCUGAUUAUCUUGGCACCAUCCACCCACCCAGUACACAACAGGGCUAUUUCCAUAGACACAUAUCCAUCUAGCCUAACUGUACUUAGGCUGCAGCGGGUGUUUGUUAGUAGUGAUCGAAUAACAUGAGGAGGGAAGGGCAGAUUAUCUGUUGACUUUGCCCUGCAUUAGCGACCGGAAGGCUGGAGUAAAAGAAAUGGAACUAAAGAAAUGUGUCUGGCCUUGGUUGGGUGGCUAAGAUGGUGCUGAUUUACAGCGAGGUUAGAGCUAAUAAAAAUAGCCAAACUGCCGUGACAGGACCUGUGUUUUCUUGAGGUUUUUGCUGGGAGUUUUCAUAUCAUUAUCAAUCUCAAACUCUUUUAGCAGGACCACUAAUCACACCACCACCAGGGCUCUGCUUAAUAUCUCCUCAUACCCUCGUCAGGGCACUUAGACCGCUGGGUUCCAUUUGAAAUAAAUUUGCCCCAUUAAAGCUCUGAUUAUUUUUUCUCUCCUGAGCUAAUUAAGUGCUGAAUUCCUGGUAAGGGGAGAUUACCGACUGUGAGCGACUAAUGAAAAGAAACACUGGAAAAUGUGCAGAAUUUAAACAGUGAGCUUUGAGGAGCAGGCACUCUAAUUCUGUGUGAAAGGUUUGGAAAUAUCAGGCUACCACUGAGAGCGACUUUUUCACUUUGUUUCCACCCUCGUAGUAUGUAUCUGAGAGGGCGCUGAGGCGUGUAAGAAGAAGGAAAUAAGAAAUAACUCAACUAUGUAGCUAUUGUAUGAAAGGCCUCCCAUAAUUAUAGCAUGCACAUUCCUAAAAAGAAGGAUGCACACACAAAAGAGCGAUGAAGCGGAAAGAGAAGAGGCUUUUUCUCUGCACUUGCAUAUAUUUUCAUAUUUUUGCAGUGGUUGAAAAUUAGCUAUUAUUUAUCUUCUAUAAAGUGGUUGUAUUUUAAAAGCACUCUAAUUUUGUGACAGACCUCGAUACAUAUCCGCCUGUCUGUUCUCCUGUACAGUUUUAUAAGAGUUGUAAAUAGAAUCACUGCCUUAUUGUACUUACUGUAUUUAUUAUAAUGUGGAAAGAUCAACCUGGAACAUGUACGCUUGUUGGGGUGGUGAGAAACACAGUGAGGCUUCCGUUGUUCAAAUGGAUGGAAACGAUUGUAAAUGGUAUUCACACACACCCUCUGCACUGUAGCUCUGCUGUAAAUAAUAAAACUCCAUUUCAUUACGCUCUGGCAUGGGAGAAAUCUGAUUACCAGCUCAUCUAUUCCAUAAUUUGCUUUCGUUGGAGGGUGAAACCUGUC